AGGGCAAUAGCUCAAUUGGUAGAGUAGUGGUUUCCAAAACCAUUGGUUGUGGGUUCGAGUCCCGCUUGCCCUGCCA
This 76-nucleotide transfer RNA is filed under the name Verrucomicrobiales bacterium. Its description in RNAcentral is "tRNA-Trp". It matches the Rfam family "tRNA". From Rfam's summary of the family: Transfer RNA (tRNA) molecules are approximately 80 nucleotides in length. Their secondary structure includes four short double-helical elements and three loops (D, anti-codon, and T loops). The record is from RNAcentral. Lineage: Bacteria; Pseudomonadati; Verrucomicrobiota; Verrucomicrobiia; Verrucomicrobiales.